This 253-nucleotide ribosomal RNA is filed under the name uncultured bacterium. RNAcentral's name for it is "partial 16S ribosomal RNA". It matches the Rfam family "Bacterial small subunit ribosomal RNA", at positions 524 to 776 of the family's 1533-position model. The record is from RNAcentral.
UACGAGGGGGGCAAGCGUUGUUCGGAAUUAUUGGGCGUAAAGGGUGCGUAGGCGGUUUGACAAGUCUCAUGUGAAAUCUUCGGGCUCAACUCGAAGUCUGCAUGGGAAACUGUCGGGCUUGAGUAUGGGAGAGGUGAGUGGAAUUUCCGGUGUAGCGGUGAAAUGCGUAGAUAUCGGAAGGAACACCUGUGGCGAAAGCGGCUCACUGGACCAUAACUGACGCUGAGGCACGAAAGCUAGGGGAGCAAACAGG